GUUCACGGGUGGGAAGUCACGGGUUUGACUGCCGUUCCAGUGCACUUUCACCGGUAGAAGGUUGUAAAAACACGAGUUACAGGCUGCCUGGAACGCAUAGGGUCGUGAGUCGUGGUUUUGAAGUCGUAACUCACGAGUUUAAAAGCCUGCCUGGAACGCAGCAUUAGCUUCACUGUUAUUUUAAUUGCGAGAGACGAAAAAAUGUUUGAACAAAGAGCCUAGGUAGGGGGAAGUACACAAAAUACAUGCGGUUUUUUCUAGUGUAAUGUUUAUUAAUAUGUUGGAGGCAAUUCCUCAAAAUCUACUUUAUAAAAUAUACUAUUGUAAACAGAAUAUGGUUGGUAUAUCAACCCUUAUGAUUUGAUAAUAAUGUAUGUUUUUUUUUUUCUCUUUCCCCUGUACUUUUGUUACAUCAUUUUUUUGCUGUCUAGACAUUUUUGUGGUAAGUCAUUUAUAUAACAAUCUCUGUUGCAACAUAAUACUUUUUUUCUGAACAGUUAACCUUGCACAUGAUAUUUAAAUAGUAAUGUUUAAUUUUUCUUUCUUUUGCUCUUUUGAAAACUUUAACUGCUUUAGCUAAACCUCAGCCAAAUUCCUGGUUUUGCUGGGCAACAGCACCUAUUUAAUACAAUUUUUUAUAGCGAACCCAAAGGCUCUUUUCAGAGCCAUCGACAUUGCGUCACUGAUUGGACAUCUUAUUCAUCUUUCAGCUUGCCUCUUAAAAACUGCCAGGAAACACCAAAAAACACAGAUUCAACUAAAAAACAAAGCCUACAAAUUCUACCCAAAACAAACGACCCAUUUUUUUACCCCACCCAGACCACUCUUUUGCCCUAACCCCAAUACACCGACUACCCCCAAACAGAACGCCCCUUUUAACUUUUUGCUUUGACAGAAAGAGUGAGAGCAGAACUACCUACAGCUCCAGUGUGCCCUGCUGCCUUGAGUGUCUUCACAAAGCAACGUUGAUUAGAGGACUGCGUUGGGAAAUCAACACCAUCAACACACACAAUAAUUUACUAUAGUUUUAAAAUUACAUAAUUUCCUAUAGUCUUUUAGACUGUUUACAAUAGAUAAUACACAUUACAGUACUUUUAAAAGUCAUUAAUAUAUCAGUAAAAAAAUUGUUUUGGCAAGUUCAUCUUUGAAACGUAUUACAUUAUAUCUGAGUCUUUUCACAUUUGCCUGUACUCAUACUUACUAUACUAAUUAAUUGCAUUAGUGAUAUUGCCUAGGGAUAUUGUUAUCAUUUCUGUAAAAUAUUGGGGUAAACAGUGUUUAACAGUUCAACAGUUCCAUUGCUAUAGUCUUGUGUGUUUGUAUAUCUAAUUUGUUGACUGUUUUAACUGUGAAAUUAGUACAGUACUUUAAAAGAUUGUUAAUAUAUAAGUAAAAUAUUCUAAGUUUGACUGUUGUUGUAACUGCUAAUUGAAUAGACUACAUUUAAAGGUCAUUAAAAAUUUUUGGUUUGCCAAGUUCGUCUUUGAAUCUUACCACAUUGUAACAUUUACCUUUAUUAGUUGAUUGCAUUACUGAUAUUGCUUUUGGUUAAAAUUUUUGUACAAUAUUGGGGUUGACAGUAUAACAGUUCAAUUGCUGCUUAUAAUAGAUAAUACACAUUACAGUACUUUUAAAAGUCAUUAAUAUAUCAGUAAAAAAAAUAGUUUUUGCAAGUUCAUCUUUGAAACGUAUUACAUUUAUAUCUGAGUCUUUUCACAUUUGCCUAUACUCUACUAAUUAAUUACAUUAGUAAUAUUGCCUUUGGUUAUCAUUUCUGUAAAAUAUUGCGGUUUACAGUUCAACAGUUCCAUUGCUAUAGUCUUGUGUGUUUGUAUAUCUAAGUUCUUGACUGUUUUAACGGUGAAAUUUUAGUACAGUACUUUAAUAUAUCAGUAAAAUAUUCUAAGUUUGACUGUUGUUGUAACUGCUAUUUGAAUAGACUACGUUUAAAGGUCAUUAAAAUAUUUUGGUUUGCCAAGUUCCUCUUUGAAUCUUACCACAUUGUAACAUUUACCUUUAUUAAUUGAUUGCAUUACUGAUAUUGCUUUUGGUUAACAUUUUUGUACAAUAUUGGGGUUGACGGUGUUUGACAGUAUAACAGUUCAAUUGCUAUAGUUUUGUGUGUGUGUAUAUUUAAUUUGUUGACUUGUUACUGAAAUUUCA
Molecule: long non-coding RNA, 2163 nt
Organism: Paramisgurnus dabryanus
Lineage: Eukaryota; Metazoa; Chordata; Actinopteri; Cypriniformes; Cobitidae
Source: RefSeq, a predicted model, not a curated record